Non-coding RNA from Dipodomys ordii (Ord's kangaroo rat), 71 nucleotides. Lineage: Eukaryota; Metazoa; Chordata; Mammalia; Rodentia; Heteromyidae. The record is from Rfam.
GGGAAGGUAGCUCAGUGGUAGAGCGCUUGGCCUUGCAUGCCUGAGGCCCUGGGUUCGAUUCCUCAGCACCA